This 86-nucleotide transfer RNA is filed under the name Gordonia phage Phendrix. Its description in RNAcentral is "tRNA-Tyr". It matches the Rfam family "tRNA". From Rfam's summary of the family: Transfer RNA (tRNA) molecules are approximately 80 nucleotides in length. Their secondary structure includes four short double-helical elements and three loops (D, anti-codon, and T loops). Lineage: Duplodnaviria; Heunggongvirae; Uroviricota; Caudoviricetes. The record is from RNAcentral.
GCGGAGUACCUCAUGGCGAGGAAGCUGGCUGUAACCCAGUUCUGAAAUAAUAGUAGGGCCGGGGGUUCGAUUCCCUCACUCCGCAC